Molecule: transfer RNA, 73 nt
Filed under: Camelus bactrianus (Bactrian camel)
Lineage: Eukaryota; Metazoa; Chordata; Mammalia; Artiodactyla; Camelidae
Also listed under: 1 other name
Rfam family: tRNA
About the family: Transfer RNA (tRNA) molecules are approximately 80 nucleotides in length. Their secondary structure includes four short double-helical elements and three loops (D, anti-codon, and T loops).
Source: Rfam by way of RNAcentral
GAGGGUAUAGCUCAAGUGGCAGAGUGCAUGCUUGGCAUGCACGAGGCCCUGGGUUCCGUCCCCAGUACCUCCU